UGGACUGUCGGAAUAGUUUGGUGUUGUGAUGCAUUAUAUUUGAAAUAUUUACAGAGAUUUCAAGAAAAUAGAAGUGUGAAAAAAGUUAAAACCAUCUUUGAACCAAACUGAAGGAUUUAAAAAUUGAUAAAGAUUGCAAAAACUGAGAUUCUAAAUUGCCAUCAUUUAUUAUGGCUUCCAUUAUUGCAUACAUAUGAAUAAAUGAGGCUAUCGCUUCUUCAGUGGGGACAGAAAGGCCCCCUCUUUCAACAGAAUGGGACCCAUAACCAGAAAUAUAAAUUUUAAUGGAAUCAUCUGCAACACAAUCGGACAAGUAUUCGGUAUCGAAGAUUCCUGAGAAACAAGUCACAUCAGUGGGAAGAUCAUGAAGAUCGUUAUUAUUGUCAUCACAAAUUCGAAAUUUAUUUUUGAUUUCAGUAAGAGAAAACGAAUUUGCCGAUUUUGUAAAUAUAUGUUUUAAUCUAAUUUUUUUUUCUGCAUGAAUUAUUUCGUUAUAUGACACAUGAUAAUUACAACCAGAUAAAAGUCUAUAAUUUCCAAAUCGUUUUUCUAAUUUUUCGGUUGUAAAUUUUCCAGCCAAAAGAUAUGAUAUAUCAAAAUUUUGAAAACAGUACUCUGUAAGUAGUAAAAGAACUGUAGUACUUUGGUGCAGAGCUUUGAAAGUAUCUACUGUUAAAUGGCCAUUUGUCUGCAAAUUUUGCCAAGAAUUUAACCAUAUUAGAAAUUUCUUUAAAAAUUCACAUUCAAAAUCGGUUUACAAAAUUCGUUUCUUUUCCUGUUACCUUUUAUACUACUUGUAUUGUUCACAAUGUCCCACCAAUUGCGAAAUAUUUCUAAAAAAUGAGCAGUAGCGGUAUAAUUGAAAUCUUUCAUAGCUGCUAUUGUAGACUGAUGGAAUAUAUUAUCAACGAGGAAAACGUUUUGUCGGUCAAAAUUAUUUGGAUACAGUGACUUAUAGUUUAAUUUAUAAGCUUUCUUAGCAAUUAGCUUUCUUAGGUUUUUCGAAAUCGUAAACCGUACGUAAAUCAUUAAACUUAGCUAAUCUUAGUUCGUUUGUAUAAAUGUCGGGGAAAACGAAAGUUUUAUCUACAUUUUUUAAAUUUGACCAAUUAUUUCUAAUAUUUUUCAUUAUAUGAACAAAGUCGAAAGAAAGAAAAAUGGUUUUAUUAGAUUGUGAAGGAUUAGGAAAACUUAUACCAUUAUUAGAUAAUUUAUUAAACAUAUUUCUAUUGAUUCUAUGAUUAUCUGCUACAAUGCAUAUUAUUUCGAAACCACAUUUUUGGACAAAUUCUAUAAUUUUAUAAACAAUGGGUGUCAUUUCAGCCCCGGUAAUAUUGAAAACUGGUAAUAAUUUAAUAAUUUCAGAAAAAUUUCCAAAAGCUGAACAUAUCAUAAAAGCUAAAAUGGUUUUUGCCAAUUCGUUAGAAUUUGAAGCGGAACCCGCAAGUCUGUUUGAUUUGUACUGUAAUUUUGAACUAAUAUAAAUUUCAUCAAUUAAUAAAAUCACUACUUUUUCUCUAGAUGUUAAAUUGGAUGAUAUAUUAAUAAGAUAAUGUUCAUUUGUUAUAUCAUUAUCUGGUGAAUAGCAACCCUCCAUUUCUCCCGCUAUUCCUCAUCUUUGGGGAAUAAAAAUAUAGAAUUGUAA
This is a long non-coding RNA of Colletes gigas, 1645 nucleotides long. RefSeq lists it as uncharacterized. NCBI's taxonomy places the organism in Eukaryota, Metazoa, Arthropoda, Insecta, Hymenoptera, Colletidae. The transcript is spliced from 3 exons. The record is from RefSeq and is a predicted model, not a curated record.